This 462-nucleotide ribosomal RNA is filed under the name Vreelandella stevensii. Its description in RNAcentral is "partial 16S ribosomal RNA". It matches the Rfam family "Bacterial small subunit ribosomal RNA", at positions 338 to 795 of the family's 1533-position model. Lineage: Bacteria; Pseudomonadati; Pseudomonadota; Gammaproteobacteria; Oceanospirillales; Halomonadaceae. The record is from RNAcentral.
CCUACGGGGAGCUGCAGUGGGGAAUAUUGGACAAUGGGCGAAAGCCUGAUCCAGCCAUGCCGCGUGUGUGAAGAAGGCCUCGGGUUGUAAAGCACUUUCAGUGGGGAAGAAAGCCUUGGGGCUAAUACCCUCGAGGAAGGACAUCACCCACAGAAGAAGCACCGGCUAACUCCGUGCCAGCAGCCGCGGUAAUACGGAGGGUGCGAGCGUUAAUCGGAAUUACUGGGCGUAAAGCGCGCGUAGGCGGUCUGAUAAGCCGGUUGUGAAAGCCCCGGGCUCAACCUGGGAACGGCAUCCGGAACUGUCAGGCUAGAGUGCAGGAGAGGAAGGUAGAAUUCCCGGUGUAGCGGUGAAAUGCGUAGAGAUCGGGAGGAAUACCAGUGGCGAAGGCGGCCUUCUGGACUGACACUGACGCUGAGGUGCGAAAGCGUGGGUAGCAAACAGGAUUAGAUACCUGGUGUC